UCCCAGUUCCUCCCAGUUCCUCAGCACUGCAGACAUGAGCUCUCUGUUCAUCUCAGUGCUGCUGGCUGCUGUGGGCCUCGAAUGCAGAGCACAGACAGACAGCGUGCUGCAACCAGAUGGAGACAUGACUGCUGCUGAAGGAGACACUGGAACUCUGGCCUGUCUGUAUAACACCAGUUCAUCCAACCAUUACCUCUACUGGUACAAACAGGAAGGAAGCAGCAGUCCCCAAUUCAUCCUGAGUCGCUUUAAGGUUGGAGAGGGGAAAACAGUGGAGAAGGAGAGAUUUUCAUCCAGUCUGGAUUCUGCUGUUAGAUCAGUUCCUCUCAGGAUCCAGGAUCUCCAUCUGUCUGACUCUGCUGUGUACUACUGCGCUCUGCAGCCCACAGUGACAGGAAACACCACAACCCUGUACAACAACCUGGUAUACCUCCCAACAUCCACUAGAGGGCCCACACACUGCUCCCCCUCCAUGAUUUGCUAGGAUUUAGUCUGAUUCUGUCUGAAAAAGACAUCUUUGUCUGUAGUUCAUCACUGAACUGUUAGGACCUCAGCAGCAGAAACCAGGAUGUGCUUCUGAUGAAUCAUUGGAGAUAAAAAGAACAACAGUGAUGGCAGCUGAGUGAGAAGAAACAAGUUUUGGAUUUUAUAUGUUUUAAUUAAAUAAUAUCUGACUGAAUUUAUAAAGGAGAAUAAAAGAGAAAGUUUUGAACUGAGGCUGACUGAUGUUUCAUAUCCUCACAAUGAAGAACAGCAGCUGAACAUCAGCAUGUUUUAUUUCUGAUUAAACACAGUUAUAAACAAUAGAACAAUUAUACAACUGUAUAAAAGAAAACUUUCCAAUCAAGCAGAUUCUGUAAGACAUGAUGUGGUUCUGCUUUACCAGCUUAGAUGGACCAACUGUGUUUCGGAUCA
Molecule: non-coding RNA, 915 nt
Organism: Girardinichthys multiradiatus
Lineage: Eukaryota; Metazoa; Chordata; Actinopteri; Cyprinodontiformes; Goodeidae
Source: the annotation of a RefSeq genome assembly